AUGGCGACGCGGAUCUCGCCAAUGGCCGCGGUGAUGGCACUGCUGCUGGCCUCACUGGUUGCGCUAUCCUCGGCGCACGACGGACACCACCACGCGCCGGUUGAAGCGCUGAGCCCUAGUUACCAUGGUCUGGCGUCGGCGCCUGCUGCCUCUUCCGGUGACCACCACCAUGGUCACCAGGCUCCAGCGCCGAGCCCUAGUCACCAUCAUCGUCAUCAUCAUGGUCCGGCGUCGGCCCCUGCUCCUGCUCACGGUCACCACCAUCAUGGUUACCACACUCCAGCUCAUCACCAUGGUCCGGCGGUGCUGCCCUCUCCUGCUCACGGUGACCACCACCAUGGUCACGAUGCUCCAUCACCGAGCCCUAGUCACCAUAAUCAUCAUCAACAUGGUCCGUCACCGGCGCCUGCUCCAGCUCACGAUGCUCACCACGCUCCAGCGCCGAGCGCUAGUCACCAUCAUCAUCAUGGGCCGUCAUCGGCUCCUGCUCCCGCUCACGGUGACCACCACCAUGGUCAUGACGCUCCAGCGCCGAGCCCUAAUCAGCAUCAUCAUCAUCACCAUGGUCCGUCGUCAGCGCCUACUCCCGCUCACAAUGGUCACCAUGCUCCGGCGCCAAGCCCUACUCACCAUCAACAUCACCAUCAUCGUCAUCACCAUGGUCCAGCAUCGGCGCCUGCUCCCGCUCACGGCGACCACCGCCAUGGUCACCACGCUCCACCGCCGUCGCCUAUCCACGUCGCCCCAGCUCCUGCACCCAGCCAGAACUCCCAAGCGCCGUCAGCAGCCUCUGGAGACUACUACCACUCCCCAGCUCCAGCGCCUGGUCCGGCAAGUUCUUCUUUCCGCCACACAGUCACCGGCGGAGUUGGUCUAGUCGCCGCGGCUGCAGUGUCCGCCGUUUUGCUUCUUCUUUAG
Molecule: ribosomal RNA, 918 nt
Filed under: Triticum aestivum (bread wheat)
Lineage: Eukaryota; Viridiplantae; Streptophyta; Magnoliopsida; Poales; Poaceae
Description: partial small subunit ribosomal RNA
Source: RNAcentral